This is an RNA transcript of Brassica oleracea var. oleracea, 1225 nucleotides long. RefSeq lists it as uncharacterized. The record is from RefSeq and is a predicted model, not a curated record. The transcript has 6 exons. NCBI's taxonomy places the organism in Eukaryota, Viridiplantae, Streptophyta, Magnoliopsida, Brassicales, Brassicaceae.
AUAAAAGAAAAUGUGAAGAAAUGUAAAUGUUGUAGAGUUUCUGGGUUUAAGGUUAAGCUGCUGAGAAGGAGAAUAACGGAGCUCAAAAAAUGGAAUCGAAAGCUAUUUGGUUAGGGUUUCUUCCGCCAAGACUUCAACUUUCAUCUCGAGUUUCACUCUCCCGCCCUCAUGGUUCUUCCACAUCUCCCAAAUCUGAUGUCAGACAAACCCUUGUCUGGAGCAAACCACAAGGUGUAGUUUACUUGAACCGAGGCCGUGUCCUAUGUUCUUCUCAACCUGAUAGUAAUGCUCCUCGAGCUGAGCUGUUCCGUGGAAAGUCUGGUUCGGUUUCUUUCAACGGUCUAACCCACCAGCUGGUUGAAGAAAGUAAACUUGUCUCAGCUCCGUUUCAAGAAGAAGACAAAGGUUCCCUCUUGUGGGUCUUGGCUCCUGCUGUCUUGAUAUCCUCACUGAUUCUUCCGCAGUUCUUUCUCAGUGGUGCCAUUGAAGCUACCUUUAAAAACGACACCGUUGCAGAGAUUGUUACUUCUUUCUGCUUUGAGACGGCGUUUUAUGCUGGUCUGGCGAUAUUCCUGUCUGUGACUGACCGAGUGCAGAGGCCCUACUUAGACUUCAGCUCCAAGAGAUGGGGUUUAAUCACUGGACUAAGAGGAUACCUCAUGUCCACAUUUCUGAUGAUGGGUUUGAAAGUUGUAGUCCCUGUGUUUGCUGUAUACAUGACUUGGCCAGCUCUUGGGAUGGAUGCCUUGAUUGCAGUCCUUCCUUUCUUGGUUGGAUGUGCGGUUCAACGAGGUUUCGAGGCUCAGCUUGAAAGACGCGGCUCUUCGUGUUGGCCCAUUGUUCCAAUAGUCUUUGAGGUGUAUAGGCUGUAUCAGGUGACAAGAGCAGCCACUUUUGUUCAGAGGCUGAUGUUUAUGAUGAAAGAUGCGUCAACUACUGUAGAGAUUACAGAGCGAGGAGUUGCGCUUGUUGGUUUGGUUGUGACUUUGCAGUUUCUAGCUGUUCUGUGUCUCUGGUCGCUGAUCACUUUUCUAAUGCGCCUUUUUCCUUCGAGACCUGUAGCUGAAAACUACUAAAUCAAUAGUAGUGUUUAGUGAAAGCCAUUGAGCUUUGAUUUCUGUGUUUCUUUCAGAGGAUUAACGUGUUGUAUCGAGUCAGGAAUUGCAGUGUAGGACACUUUUGAACUUCAAUCUUGAUGAGAUCUUGAUAAAAUUGGACAUCUCAA